This is a small nucleolar RNA of Tachyglossus aculeatus (Australian echidna), 138 nucleotides long. The record is from RefSeq and is a predicted model, not a curated record. NCBI's taxonomy places the organism in Eukaryota, Metazoa, Chordata, Mammalia, Monotremata, Tachyglossidae.
CCCCUCUCAGGAUAGCACCUGGAGAGCUUCCAGUACUCUCCCAGUUUCGGCUAUGGGAGGGAGAGUCAAGCAGUGGUAUACCCAUUCCAUUCUUAGAUUGGGCAGUGGCUAGCAAGUGGAAGUCAAUCUGCUACAAGU